CAGCCACAUAUAUUUAUUCAUAUGUCUGCCCUAUUCCCUUAUGCAGUGUAUGGGAGGGUGUCUGUUCUAUGCAUGAAAUGGAACGUGCCUCACCUUGCUGCGCUGCAUUGGAUGAAUCACUUCAAUAUCAGAAGUGAACUGGGCUGGGAGAAAAUUGCUUGAGGAAAUUGGAGCAAUAAGAUUAACAGUCCAAGGGGCAAACAAAAGGAGAGAAGAAAUGGUUGGCUUUGGUGCAUCUGGAAUUCAACUGAGCAAAGAAUUAAAACAGAAUUCAACAGUGAAAUUUCUGCAGGGACGAGUAAAGGGCCUGGUGCAGGUUAGGAAGACUAGUGUGUGAGAGAAAGAACAUGAAAAUACAUAU
Molecule: long non-coding RNA, 361 nt
Organism: Podarcis raffonei (Aeolian wall lizard)
Lineage: Eukaryota; Metazoa; Chordata; Lepidosauria; Squamata; Lacertidae
Exons: 3
Source: RefSeq, a predicted model, not a curated record